UAGGGAAUAUUAGUAAUGGGCGAAAGCCUGAACUAGCAACACCGCGUGUGCGAAGAAGGCCUUCGGGUUGUAAAGCACUUUUUGAGAGGAUGAGGAAGGACGGUACUCUCAGAAUAAGUCUCGGCUAACUACGUGCCAGCAGCCGCGGUAACACGUAGGAGGCAAACGUUAUCCGGAUUUACUGGGCGUAAAGCGCGUGUAGGUGGUACUGUAAGUAGGGCGUGAAAGCUCCUGGCUCAACUGGGAGAGGCCGUUCUAAACUACAGAACUAGAGGAUGGUAGAGGGAGGUGGAAUUCCAGGUGUAGCGGUGGAAUGCGCAGAUAUCUGGAGGAACACCGGUGGCGAAGGCGGCCUCCUGGACCAUUCCUGACACUCAGACGCGAAAGCUAGGGUAGCAAACG
RNAcentral lists this ribosomal RNA (402 nucleotides) under uncultured prokaryote. RNAcentral describes it as "bacterial SSU rRNA". It matches the Rfam family "Bacterial small subunit ribosomal RNA", at positions 355 to 774 of the family's 1533-position model. The record is from RNAcentral.